This 5042-nucleotide long non-coding RNA is filed under the name Mus musculus (house mouse). RNAcentral describes it as "predicted gene 7967". The record is from RNAcentral. Lineage: Eukaryota; Metazoa; Chordata; Mammalia; Rodentia; Muridae.
GGGGGAUUUUAAGAAAGAAGCUGCCUGAGUAAAACUGCUUUAAGAACCGGUGGUUGGCAAGUGGUGCCGAAGAAACCCGGGACCCCCACCAAAGAGGUUCAGAACUUUCUGCAAUCAGGGUCUGUCAACAGGAUGAGUACGGUAAGUAACUCACUAUCCCAGGAUUGGGAUUAGGCUCUCAGUAAAGAGACAAUAAGGCUCUCGGUAAAGAAACAAAUAGGCUCUCCGGCUCUGGAGACAAUAAAGGCUCUCUCUGGCUCAGGAGAUGAGAAAGUGAAAGUAAGAGGGUAGUGAAAGUAAGAGGAUAAUAGGGACAGUCUAUGGGUUACUUUCUUUUUCUAGCCAUUUGAGUAAUUUUUCUGAGGGCGUGAGUGACUAGGUAUGGGGUCAUCACAGUCACACCCAAUUUUUUCAGCGCUCGAUGAGCUGCUAAGAGUGAAGAGUGCAAAACUCAAAAAGCAUACCAUUCAAGCCUUCCUCGAGGAGUGUGACAAGGUUGCUCCUUGGUUUGCCGUGUCAGGCCAUUUGACUCCUGCUAGCUGGGGUAGGUUGGGAAGAGACCUAGAUUUCUCCUGGGAGCAGGGUGUCCUUAAAGAAGGUACUAGAGCAGUGUGGAAACUAGUGAAUAGCUGUUUAGAAGAUGAGCUUUGUUGUCAAGCAGUGGAAUCAGGCAAGCAAGCACUAGAACAAUUGAAGGAAGAGAGAUCAUUAAAGUCUGAAAAGGCGAGCUCAUCGAGCUCUGAAAGUGGAUCAGAGGAGGAUAUAGAGGAGCUAGCACAGGAGUUAGGAAGAAGCUCCUUGUAUCCUGAUUUUACAGGAUUAAAGAAGGAGACAAGUGAGGAGCAGAGGAGUAGGGAUCAAGGCAAAACCACUAGUGCAGACCUUAAAGAUUACAGACGAGAAAGGAGGAGGGAGGAAGUGACCCCUACAGCUCCCCCGCCCUAUCAAGAUUUGGGCAAGACUGGCAACUCAUUUUGCCCUGAUGCUUGGAAGGUGGUUAGACUCUUUUUGGGUUGCUUCCCUGUUUUCCUAGAUCAACAAGGGAAUCGUUACCAAGAACCAUUGGACUUUAAAGUUAUUAAAAAUCUAGCAGAAUCUUGCGGAGCCUAUGGAGUCUCUGCCGCCUUCACCACAGUUCAGCUAGAAGCCCAGCGAUUGGGCAGGGUUGGUGAGGGCAUGUCUGUCUCCUGGACAAUAUCUGGAUUGGAGAUCAUUCCUGAUUGAAUUUGCUCAUGAGUAGGCUGCCGCUAACGCAGCUGCGGGAAUCAAUUCUAGGAUAGAGAUAUGUUACUUGGUCAAGGUCGCUUUGCGCAACAGCAAUCUGGUUACCCCCCCCCCCCCCCGCAAGUUUAUGAGCAGAUCAAUCAGAUAGGAAUUAGAGCCUGGAAGUCUUUACCAAAUAGAGGAAAAGUGAAUGGGAAUCUAACAAGGAUUAUACAGGGAGCUACUGAGCCUUUUGCUGACUUUGUGGCUAGAAUGGUUGAGGCUGCUGGGAGGAUCUUUGGAGAUCCUGACACUGCCAUGCCGUUAAUAAAACAACUGGCAUUUGAGCAGUGUACUAAGGAGUGUAGAACAGCCAUUACUCCCUACAAGAAUAGGGGAAUUGAGGCCUGGAUGAAGAUUUGCCGAGAGCUUGGAGGGCCUUUGAGCAAUGCUGGACUGGCCACAGCGGUGAUGCAAUUGCAGGGAAAAAAAGAGGAACUCCUGCGGGAGCAUGUUUCUGCUGUGGCCGGGUGAGACAUGUUAAAAGGGAUUGUCCAGAAAGAAGUGCAACACAAGGACCUCGAGCUAGACAUCCAGGACUGUGCACAAAAUGUAGGAAGGGAAACCAUUGGGCCAGUGAAUGUCGAUCUAUAGAGGACAUCAAUGGACAGCCCCUUGUCUCCUCUAAUUCAGGAGCUUGUCCAAAAAACGGCCAGCAGGGCCCCUGUCCUCAGGACCCGCAAAUAUAUGGGGCAGUGAGUGUAGAGAACCAGGGGGAGACAACCUGGCCUCUUCUUUAUCCUCCUCGAAGCCGAGGAGAGCAACUGAGUGUUCAGCGGGAUUAGACCUCUGCUCAACCACCAGAGUCGUAUUGACUCCACAGAUGGGAACCCAAUUAAUAGACACAGAUUUUAGAGGACCCAUACCCAAAGAUACAGUAGGACUGCUCUGGGGGAGAUCCUCCUCAUCCUUGCAAGGUCUUAUAGUCCAUCCAGGAGAGAUCAAUCCAGAUUAUGAAGGAAUUAUCAAAGUCAUGGCCUUCUCGCCACGAGGUCUGGUAGCUAUUUCUCCAGGGGAUAGGAUAGCACAACUUUUAAUCAUCCCUAGUCUUCAUGGCUUAUACCCAGCUGCAUCACAAAAAAAGGGGAGAAAAAGGAUUUGGGUCUUCAGGCACUCAGCUUACCUGUCUGUCAUUACAAACGGAUCAGCGUCCAGUACUGGAGUUACAGGUGCAUGGAAAAUCCAUCUUGGGGCUUUUAGAUACUGGAGCUGAUAGGUCCAUAAUUGCAAGGAAGGACUGGCCAAACGGAUGGCCGAUUCAGGAGUCAGAACAAAUAUUACAAGGCCUCGGCUAUGCAAAGAGUCCAGACAUAAGUGCCAGGAUGCUCCCUUGGAAAGAUAAGGAAGGGCAUGAUGGGAUGUUUCAACCAUAUGUGCUUGAGCUGCCCAUUACCUUAUGGGGUAGGGAUUUGUUGAAAAUAAUGUCCUAUUUAGGAGCAAGGUUCGCCCCUACGGCCGUUUGGCCUCAAAAGAUACAGUUGAGGGUUGAUUCCUUGCAUACUUUAAAUGAUUUUCAGAAAUUGUUAGGCAAUAUCAAUUGGAUUCGGCCCUAUUUGAAGAUCCCAAAUUUUAAAUUAAAACCUCUGUUUCAAGUUUUAGAAGGAGACUCAGAGUUAAGUUCCAAAAGGGAAUUAACACCUGAGGCUAGAAAGGCCCUUGCCCUAGUGGAAGAAGAAUUGACUAAAGCCCAGCUUCAGUGUUGUAGAGAAGGGUUACCCAUCAUUUUGAUAAUAUUACUACUGAGAUGCAACCCACAGGAUUAUUGUGGCAAGAAUGCCCAUUGUUAUGGAUCCAUUCCAAAAGAUCUGCUGGGAGGACAUUAGAUCAUUACCCUACAACAGUGGCUUCUUAGCCUUGUUGGGAAUUGAGCAUUAUUUGCAAUUUUUUGGUAUAAAACCCAGCUCUAUUGUAAUCCCUUAUCAUGAGUAUCAGCAAAAGGUCCUAACAGCAAAUAUUGAUGAGUGGGCUAUUUUAGCCUGUAUUAAUGAGGGCCCAUUUGAUAAUCAUUAUCCCAAACAUCUGUUAAUGACAUUUUUUAAGGAACACCCCGUCAUUUUCCCUCAAGUGGUGAGGAAAACACCCAUUAAGGAUGCAGUUAACAUGUUUACUGAUGGAUCAAAAACCGGAUGUGGAGUAUAUAUGGUAGAGGGGAAAGAUCCUGUGGUCAGGCAGUAUUAUCCCUGUACUCCGCAGAUGGUGGAAUUACAAAUAGUUAUUGAGGUCAUUAAGGAUUGUGAUUUUCCUUUUAAUCUAAUUUCAGAGUCACAAUAUGUAGUUAAUUUAGUUUUAUCCCUAGAAGUGGCAGGCCAAAUAAAAGCUCGUAGUACCAUCCAAGCCUUAGCCUUACAAUUACAGAAGUUGCUGUGGGAAAGACGCCAACCAUUAUAUAUUGGACAUAUCCAUGCCCAUAGUGGGCUUCUAGGACCCUUAAGUAAGGGAAAUGAUAUUGUGGAUAAUUGUACUUGUACAGAGUUCAUAUUUUUAGCAUCCCCUAUGGAAUUAGCCUCACAAUUUCAUUCUAAAUUUCAUGUUAAUGCUAAAACUCUGCAGAGAAAAUUUGGAAUCUCUAGAGCACAAGCUCGGGAUGUAGUCACUACCUGUGGACGUUGCCUUGAGUUUCAACACCCACCUUCUUAUGGAGUGAAUCCUAGAGGAUUGCUCCCUCUGCAAGUGUGGCAGAUGGAUGUGACACAUUUUUCAGAAUUUGGCAAAUUGAAAUACGUUCAUGUAUCCAUUGACACAUGUUCAGGAAUAGUUUAUGCAUCUCCCAUGGCAGGGGAAAAGGCCUCCCAUGUUAUAUAGCAUUGUUUGGAGGCCUGGGCAGCUUGGGGUAAGCCCCAACAACUUAAAACAGACAAUGGCCCUGCAUAUACUGCCAAAACCCUGGUAUCUUUUUGUCAACAGAUGGAAGUACAAGUUAAACAAGGCCUAACAUAUAAUCCUCAAGGCCAAGGAAUCAUUGAACGAACACAUAGAACCUUAAAAGAAUUAUUAAUAAAACAAAAAGGGGGAAUAGGCUAUGGCCAUACCCCAAAGAUAAGAAAUUUUUUACAAUUGGAUAAGGAAGGUCGCUCUGCUGCUGAACGACAUGCUAACACCAGCCCCAGUAAACUGGGGUAUGCUAAAUGGAAGGAUGUGCUUACAGGAUCAUGGAAUGGUCCGGAUCCUGUGUUAGCCUGGGGGAGAGGGUCUGUUUGCAUGUUUCCACAGAAUCUUGAAGAGCCAGUGUGGGUUCCAGAGUGGCUAGUGCGACGCUGUCAAAAUGAAGAAGCUGAUCUUGCUGGUGAUGAGCACAUGUCUGGCCCUGAUGGGUGCGGAACCCAGAUGGGGAAUACUGUCUGUGUUUAAAUUGGACUGCAAAUUUUGAUGGCAAGAUGAAUGAGCUUCGCUCGGCGAUUGUUCUACCUGAGUGGAUCCUGGCUUGGCAUCGGGAAAGAAUCGACUGGGAUAGGUGCCCUUGCUGUGGCCCUUGUAUUGGCAUGCAUGUUGUGUGUAUGGUGUAUGUGUCGGUGUAUGUGUACGGAGCCAUCGCUCCGUAGGAUUGUACGGCUAAGCACUGCACAGAGGUUAGUCUGGAAGCUGUUUGACAAUCUCUGGGAGGUAUGUCUGAUUGCACGAGGGUUGAGUGUCCUAGUGUCCUUCCACCAGGAAAAAAAUGGCAUGGGAGCAGGUCAGGGUUGCUCUGGGUAAAAACCUGUGAGCUUAAGAGUCAAUCCUGUACAUGGCCCCUAUUUCUGCACACUGGGGAUCAGACCUUUAUCUUCACCCAUGGAGCUUGU